CCCUUAGAUGUCCUGGGCUGCACGCGCGCUACACUGAUGUGUCCAGUAAGCACCUAACCUCUUCCGAAAGGAACGGGUAACCUUUGCAAAGCACAUCGUGAUGGGGAUAGAUUAUUGCAAUUAUUAGUCUUGAACGAGGAAUUCCUAGUAAGCACAAGUCAUCAGCUUGUGUUGAUUACGUCCCUGCCCUUUGUACACACCGCCCGUCGCUCCUACCGAUUGAAUGUUCCGGUGAGCUCUUCGGACUGCGCGGUCUGCAGUUUCUGCGUUCCGUGCGGAAAGCUGCGCAAACCUUAACAUUUAGAGGAAGGAGAAGUCGUAACA
This 324-nucleotide ribosomal RNA is filed under the name uncultured eukaryote. Its description in RNAcentral is "partial 18S ribosomal RNA". It matches the Rfam family "Eukaryotic small subunit ribosomal RNA", at positions 1470 to 1796 of the family's 1831-position model. The record is from RNAcentral.